RNAcentral lists this ribosomal RNA (553 nucleotides) under uncultured archaeon. Its description in RNAcentral is "bacterial SSU rRNA". It matches the Rfam family "Archaeal small subunit ribosomal RNA", at positions 326 to 879 of the family's 1478-position model. The record is from RNAcentral.
CGGGGUGCACCAGGCGCGAAAACUUUACAAUGCGGGAAACCGUGAUAAGGGGACACCGAGUGCCAGCAUCAUAUGCUGGCUGUCCGGGUGUGUAAAAUACACCCGUUAGCAAGGGCCGGGCAAGACCGGUGCCAGCCGCCGCGGUAACACCGGCGGCCCGAGUGGUGAUCGUGAUUAUUGGGUCUAAAGGGUCCGUAGCCGGUUUGGUCAGUCCUCCGGGAAAUCUGACGGCUCAACCGUUAGGCUUUCGGGGGAUACUGCCAGGCUUGGAACCGGGAGAGGUAAGAGGUACUACAGGGGUAGGAGUGAAAUCUUGUAAUCCCUGUGAGACCACCUGUGGCGAAGGCGUCUUACCAGAACGGGUUCGACGGUGAGGGACGAAAGCUGGGGGCACGAACCGGAUUAGAUACCCGGGUAGUCCCAGCCGUAAACGAUGCUCGCUAGGUGUCAGGCAUGGCGCGACCGUGUCUGGUGCCGCAGGGAAGCCGUGAAGCGAGCCACCUGGGAAGUACGGCCGCAAGGCUGAAACUUAAAGGAAUUGGCGGGGGAGCAC